GCAGGCGUAGCAGGAAGGGUCCUGCCCCGGACCGUUGAUCCGGAGACCGCGGUUCGAUUCCGCGCGCCUGCG
Molecule: transfer RNA, 72 nt
Filed under: Euryarchaeota archaeon RBG_16_68_12
Lineage: Archaea; Methanobacteriati; Methanobacteriota
Description: tRNA-Asn
Rfam family: tRNA
About the family: Transfer RNA (tRNA) molecules are approximately 80 nucleotides in length. Their secondary structure includes four short double-helical elements and three loops (D, anti-codon, and T loops).
Source: RNAcentral